GUUCCCCUGAGCACUUCACCGGAGAUAUAUAUAUAUAUAUAUAUCAAUCUCGCUGAAGUGUUUGGGGGAACUC
This 73-nucleotide microRNA precursor is filed under the name Carica papaya (papaya). RNAcentral's name for it is "miR395e stem-loop (cpa-MIR395e)". Its record names the gene cpa-MIR395e. The record is from miRBase by way of RNAcentral. Lineage: Eukaryota; Viridiplantae; Streptophyta; Magnoliopsida; Brassicales; Caricaceae.